Molecule: transfer RNA, 73 nt
Filed under: Canis lupus familiaris (dog)
Lineage: Eukaryota; Metazoa; Chordata; Mammalia; Carnivora; Canidae
Also listed under: 1 other name
Rfam family: tRNA
About the family: Transfer RNA (tRNA) molecules are approximately 80 nucleotides in length.
Source: Rfam by way of RNAcentral
GCUCAGUUAGCGUCAUUUGGUGGAGCAUGUGACUAUUGAUCUCAGAUUGUGAGUUCAAGCCCCACAUUGGGUA